This 777-nucleotide ribosomal RNA is filed under the name Triticum aestivum (bread wheat). Its description in RNAcentral is "partial small subunit ribosomal RNA". Lineage: Eukaryota; Viridiplantae; Streptophyta; Magnoliopsida; Poales; Poaceae. The record is from RNAcentral.
ACCGACCUCUACCAGCCUGUCGAAAUGCCUCUCAGCUUCGGCCGCUCCAUCUCCUUCCCUCUCACCCGGCACCAUCUCCAAGCCCGCCACGUCCGCUCCGUCAGCCUUCCCGGCACCACCUCCUCCCACCCGCUCCUCGCCAACCUCCGUGCCCACAUCACCGCCCUCCGCGCCUGGACACACACCGACUCGUCCUCCUCCCUCCACGCCGGCCUCGCUGCCAUGCACGCACUCCACGCCGCGCUUGCUGACGUCCUCCUCCUCCUGGAGUCUCGUCGGGCCACCACCUACGUCGGCGACCGCCUCCUCGACGCAUUCCUCCUCCUCGCCGACGCGCACCAGGGCUUCCAGGAAUGCGUCAUGUCGCUCAGGCACGUCACUGCCGAGUCCCGCGCCGCGCUCCGCAGAGGGGACACCGGCAGACUCGCGUCCGCCUCCAGGUCGCGGCGCAGGGCCGAGAAGGACCUCGCCCGCCUCACCGCCUCUGUUUCCGCCGUCUCUGCCAAGUGCCCGCGAUUGAACCUUCUCGCUGGUGCCGAGGAGGCCCAGAUGGCCGGCCUGCUCGUGGAGGCGGCCGCUUUGAGCGCCGCGGCGUCUGCAGCCGUCUUCUCGUCCGCCGCGUCCUUGUCGUCCCCUGCGUCUACUAGCAAGAAGAUAGCUAUGUUUAUUCCUGCGUUCACCACCAGGAAGUCCACCGCGCCGGAGACGGAGGAGGCGGCCGCGGAGAGGCUGCACGCGCGCGCUGGAGAAAUUCUCUGGUGGGCAGCAUUAUACUCC